Molecule: microRNA, 19 nt
Filed under: Schmidtea mediterranea
Lineage: Eukaryota; Metazoa; Platyhelminthes; Tricladida; Dugesiidae
Description: sme-miR-748-3p
Gene: sme-miR-748-3p
Source: miRBase by way of RNAcentral
UGGACGGAAGUGUAAUGAG